GUAAACAGUAAAAUUCUGGUUUCGUUUGUAGUUUUUUAUUUAAAAGAAAUACUUUUCUUUUGCAGAAACCUUUGUCAACACUGUAGACACUAAACGGUCAUCUCCACCAAUCUGUUCUGAAUACCUGACAACUAGGGACUGCCUAAAGCAAAUACGACUAUGGGUUAGAACAUUUCUUAGGAAAUCAACGGAAUAUAGCCAACCGAGAAUAAUCAAUUUUGGAAGGGA
RNAcentral lists this long non-coding RNA (228 nucleotides) under Mytilus galloprovincialis (Mediterranean mussel). The record is from RNAcentral. Lineage: Eukaryota; Metazoa; Mollusca; Bivalvia; Mytilida; Mytilidae.